This 442-nucleotide ribosomal RNA is filed under the name uncultured bacterium. Its description in RNAcentral is "bacterial SSU rRNA". It matches the Rfam family "Bacterial small subunit ribosomal RNA", at positions 64 to 524 of the family's 1533-position model. The record is from RNAcentral.
GAACGAGGUCCAUUCUUUGGGAGAAGACCUAGUGGCGAACGGGUGAGUAACACGUGAGCAACCUGCCCCGAAGACUGGGAUAACAGCGGGAAACCGCUGCUAAUACCGGAUAUCCCCACCGGAUCGCAUGAUCUGGUGAGGAAAUGGAUUCCGCUUCGGGAGGGGCUCGCGGCCUAUCAGCUUGUUGGUGGGGUAACGGCCCACCAAGGCAACGACGGGUAGCUGGUCUGAGAGGACGAUCAGCCACACUGGGACUGAGACACGGCCCAGACUCCUACGGGAGGCAGCAGUGGGGAAUCUUGCGCAAUGGGCGAAAGCCUGACGCAGCAACGCCGCGUGAGGGAUGACGGCCUUCGGGUUGUAACCUCUUUCGAGCAGGGACGAUUGUGACGGUACCUGCAGAAGAAGCUCCGGCCAACUACGUGCCAGCAGCCGCGGUAAU